ACAAUGGUGCACGUCACGGCCA
RNAcentral lists this unclassified non-coding RNA (22 nucleotides) under Chlamydomonas reinhardtii. RNAcentral's name for it is "small RNA Cre_0195". Lineage: Eukaryota; Viridiplantae; Chlorophyta; Chlorophyceae; Chlamydomonadales; Chlamydomonadaceae. The record is from RNAcentral.